Molecule: long non-coding RNA, 195 nt
Organism: Mauremys reevesii (Reeves's turtle)
Lineage: Eukaryota; Metazoa; Chordata; Testudines; Geoemydidae
Exons: 2
Source: RefSeq, a predicted model, not a curated record
UCCAAUGGAAAACUUCCGAGUCACCAGCACAGCUUUCCUUGCCCAGCUAAUGAGUGAUCCCAUGCUCAGGGAGAAGAAGUUGCUUAAGAUUGUCUUACGCAUCUUGGAAGAAAGGUCACAGGAUAGAAACAGCAUUGUCCGUCAGAUGGUUGUAAGAGGCCUGGGAAAUAUAGUCGAUGGGGCGCCUGUGAAGGU